Molecule: ribosomal RNA, 460 nt
Filed under: uncultured bacterium
Lineage: Bacteria
Description: partial 16S ribosomal RNA
Rfam family: Bacterial small subunit ribosomal RNA
Source: RNAcentral
CCUACGGGAGGCAGCAGUGAGGAAUAUUGGUCAAUGGACGAGAGUCUGAACCAGCCAAGUAGCGUGAAGGAUGACUGCCCUAUGGGUUGUAAACUUCUUUUAUAUGGGAAUAAAAUGUUCCACGUGUGGGAUUUUGUAUGUACCAUAUGAAUAAGGAUCGGCUAACUCCGUGCCAGCAGCCGCUGUAAUACGGAGGAUCCGAGCGUUAUCCGGAUUUAUUGGGUUUAAAGGGAGCGUAGGUGGAUUGUUAAGUCAGUUGUGAAAGUUUGCGGCUCAACCGUAAAAUUGCAGUUGAAACUGGCAGUCUUGAGGACAGUAGAGGUGGGCGGAAUUCGUGGUGUAGCGGUGAAAUGCUUAGAUAUCACGAAGAACUCCGAUUGCGAAGGCAGUUCACUGGACUGCAACUGACACUGAGGCUCGAAAGUGUGGGUAUCAAACAGGAUUAGAUACCCCUGUAGUC